CCUACGGGUGGCUGCAGUGGGGAAUAUUGCACAAUGGGGGAAAACCUGAUGCAGCAACGCCGCGUGAGCGAUGAAGGCCUUCGGAUCGUAAAGCUCUGUCAUAAGGGAAGAAUACUGACGGUACCUUAGGAGGAAGCCCCGGCCAACUACGCGCCAGCAGCCGCGGUAAUACGUAGGGGGCUAGCGUUAUCCGGGAUUACUGGGCGUAAAGGGUGCGUAGGCGGCCCUUCAAGUCAGGGGUGAAAGGCUACGGUUCGAACGUAGUAAGCCGUUGAAACUGUAGGGAUUGAGUGCAGGAGGGGUGAGGGGAGUUCCCAGUGUAGCGGUGAAAUUCGUAGAGAUUGGUAGGAACGCCAGUUUCGAAGGCGGCUCUCUGGACUGUGCCUGACGCUGAGGCCCGAAAGCGUGGGGAGCGGACAGGAUUAGAUACCCGUGUAGUC
This 440-nucleotide ribosomal RNA is filed under the name uncultured bacterium. Its description in RNAcentral is "bacterial SSU rRNA". It matches the Rfam family "Bacterial small subunit ribosomal RNA", at positions 338 to 795 of the family's 1533-position model. The record is from RNAcentral.